AUGCAGGACUCAAUCCAGGAUCCCGGAAUCACGACCUGAGCCCAAGGCAGCCACCCAACCGGAAAAAGGCACCAUGAAUUACAACCAAUACUUUGCUGGAUCUUUUUCAUACGGAGUUUUAUGUUGCACAUAUGAGACAAGAUGCCAGAAUGGUGCACAUUAGAAACCUUGCAUCUGCAUAUUUACCUAGAAAGAAUAAAUUAUAUACUAGGUAAGACUGGAGCUCUGAAGUACAGUCUGUCAUGAAAAGAGGCAUAUGGAAUGAAUAUUUACAGAAAAUAAUGUCAUGCAAAUUGCAAAACUCCAAUAUACUAGCAAGAAAGAAAAUACCAAAAGUGAAGGAAAAAUACAAAAUAGAGGAAAAAUGAAUUGUAAAAGGACCCCAUGUAUGGAGGUAUAUGUAUAAGGAGCAGACUACACUGGAUCAAGGAUAGAGCAAGAUUCUAGUUCAAAGGCUGCUAUAAUAAUCCAGUAACAAGUCUAGGCAGGACUAUCUUAAGGUAACAAUUUCUUAAUUAACUAUUGCAAAUCAUCGUAAGGAAUUAAGAAGCUUAAGAUUCUAUUCUCCAAGUAGGUUAUCGGGUAAGUGCUUUCACUAAAUUUAGGGGGGUUUUUUGGUUAAUUAAAAAAUAAUUAGCAUUGGCCACACUUUUCAACUUUUUUGCAUUAUAUUCCAUUCAACACACUUUCCUAGGAAUGAUGUUCUAGCAUGUGUUAAACUUUUCAAGGAAAGAAAUGAAACUUUUAGGUAUUGAUUAAUUUCAAAAUAUGAUUCUAAUUAGAACAAAAUCACUUAUCCUUUUUAACCUAUCACUAUAAAUUAUUCUAUAUUAAAAUUAGACAAAUGAAAUAUUAACUGAAGAAGGCUAUAAUCUAGAAAAUUAGAAUGACAUGUUCCUAAAAUUUUAAGACUUUGAAAAAAUCAUUACCCAAUAUAUGUCUUUAAAUCAUUCACAUAAAUAUUGCACUGAAACUAAGAGUGAAGGAAGCUGUUCUAGGGGAUGGGUUACAGCUCAAUGAGAUUCAUAGACUAGGAAUUCUGUUAUUUUUUAGCAAUUUAUUGUGAGUUUAGCAAAGUGUUUAUAGUAGUGUCUCAUUUGUUAUUGAUUCAUGAGAAAUUUGAAGGCUGAUUAUUUGGCAUUCUUAAAAAUACUUUGUACUAAGUUUUUAAAAUGUUACUCCUUCAUAUUUUAAAACUUUUAGGUCCUCCAAAAAGGAAGUCUCUUGCAUUGAUCACUGAUCUUUUCUGUUCCCCUGCCCAAGGGAUGAAGGAGAAUUACCCUCUUUAUUAACUAUGAUUCCUUUGGUUGCAAAUGUCAGAAGACCCAAUGAGUUAGAAAAAAGAUAAAUAUUUGUCUCCCCUAACCAGAAAGUCCAGAGGAGGACUUGCCUCAGGCUUUAUUAUGAUUGAUACUGUGUAUGGUUUUAACUACCAUCUUCCUUUAAGAUUCCUUCCAUCUUCCUUAUAGUCUCAUGUCUCUGCUCCUCUUUACAGCAAAACUCCUUGAAAGAGUUGUCCAUACUCAGGAAUUUCAUUUCUGCAUUCUCCAUGCUUUGAUGAUAGUGCUGGGCAUGAAAGCUGUGUGUCCAUCACUGAGCUAGAUCACAGGAACACUCCCAGCCUAAGGGGAUGAGGCCUCCUUUCAUAACACCACUAGCCCCCACAUUCUAGGGUAUCCCAGCUUCUCAACACCAACAACAGCUUUCCUUUCCAAGAUCAGCCGCAAGUGGUGAGCUAGGGUAGGAACAGGGAGAGGAAGCUCUAGACACCAGGGAGAGUCUCUGGGAACAGGAUGUUCACUCAGAGUCCCCAUUUCUCAGCUCCCAGGUGGUUUUUCUCCACUCCUACCCCUCCCAGGUUUUUUUCCACAUUCCUUCCUCUCCUGUGAGUAGUUCCUUUGCCUUCCUUUCCCUGUUCUCCAGCCCAGGCUUCUAAGAACUCAAAGAACCUCUGAAUCUCUCAGCCUGACAUUUCAGCUACCAGCCUUUCUCUACAAAUGCCCUAGUCUUGGGGGCUGCUUCAGAUGUAGGUGACAGUUGUCCAGAGACAAGGACUUGGGAAGGAAGAGUUGUCAGGGUACUUCUAACAACAAAAGGAAAUAUUCAAGGUAUAGAUUAAUACCUUGAGAUAUUAUCCAGCCACAGUUUUUGUGUUGUUGUUAUUCUUUCGUUAUUUUAUGUUUUAUGUUGUUAUUAUUCCAACUGAUGCUAAAUUAACAUUAGCAUCUCCAAAUCUCACACUUCCAACAACAUAACUAGAGUUGAAUUUUUAUUUUCCAGGGGAAAAAAGGAGAGAGGUAAGUUUAAAUUAUAUCUCUAACUUGGGAGAAAUAUCUUCAAGCUAGCAUUAUCCAUUCAGUGGGACAUUUAUUAUCCUUAAACCGGUAAGUCCCUCGUUGAAUAAAUUAUUCUACAUUCCUGCAAUAAAAAAAAUAUGCAGCCAUUAUAAGAAUGAGGUGGGUCUCCAUGUGCUGUUAUGAAACCAUCUUUAAGACACUGUUAAAUUUAGAACAGCAAAGUAUAAAAUGAUCAAAUCCCAUUUGUGCAUGUGUUUUAAAAUAAUGCUACUUAAAUUUUUAACAUACCUUUAAAUUACACUUUCAUGUAUAUACAUGAAAAAUUUCUGGAGGCAUACAUUAGAAACUAUUGAAUGGCAUUACCUCCAGUGAGUGACACUAUGGCUAAGGAUCGACUAAUCAUUUUUAAUUGGAUAGACUUUUACUGUUUGAUUUUUUUUUCCAUGUGCACAUAAUUUCACAAUACGAAAAUAAACACAAUUCAAUUCUUUACUCAACUAUAUUUGAAGGUCUAUGUUCUUUCAAAGCAUAUGCAAGUUAGGUCAACAAGGGAUUCAGAUUUUUGCUUACAAAUAUUUUUUCAGAAGUGGCUCAGGCAUGGGAAAUUAAUUCGAAAUCUCAUCCUUAAAUGGUCUCCUCUCCCUGCAGGGUCUCUGACAAAUACAUAUACACAGAGGAAAAUUAAUCAAAUAAACACUUGAUUGCUCUGAGUCUGCAAUCCAGCAGCAUGCUAAGCCACAGAAGACCACCUGGAGACUCAUGCCUAGGUUAGGCAAGCCUAUAUAACCUGGAAUCAAAACAACAAAAAUGGCCACUUUUGCCUCUUUCUGUCUCAUGCCUUCAAUUAAAUGAGAUCUUCCCACUCCAAAGCAAGGAAGUCCGAUACAGAAUACACCAAAGAGAAAAACUGGCAAAGCACUAGAGCAUUUGCCCAUGCCCAGAGCAGUGAGAGCUGAUCUACAAAGUCUGAGCCCAGACUGUUCUCAAGAAAUAGGCCAUCAACUUGGUGGCCAUCAGCAAGAGGCUCCCAAGGGAGUGGGACAUCAGGACAGAGACAGAACAUAUCCAGAAGUAUUGCCCUAGUAACCAUCAUUGACGCUGGGAAAGGGCCUCUACUUUGGGGUAGACUCAAAUGCCUGUCCUUAGCUAUUUGCAAUCAAAGAAUAAGGAAGGCAAUCCACUCCUGCUAGGAGCCAGCCCUAAAUUUACUUCAUACAGAGUAUUUCUUCAAGAUCCAGCUGUUUGCAUGGAGACACCAUCUGGUUGGCAAAGUCACUUUUUAAAAUGUAUUUGCAAAUGGUCACCAAUGUAUUUACCUUGAUUAAAUGUGUCAUCUUUCAUUUCAGAACUAAUUUGAAUUAAAUUUGGCUAGUAUUUUAGAGGAUGACAGAUUAUUUCAGUCUGGUAGAAACAUUAACAUUGAGAAGCCAAAUGACAAAAAGCAUCAAAUCAAAUGGAACUCUGAGGACUACUUCAUUGAAAUAACAACAACAUCAUCUUUAAGUGUUUUUCCAUACAAGAUAGCAUUCUAAUGCCCAGCCCCCAACAUUAUCUCACCACAAGAAAACACACACCCAAAAAAGAGUCAGUGGUCCAAGCUAUGGCAGAUGUUUUAAAUGUUUGUUGGGCUAAUAUUUAAAAUACUGGUCAUAGAUAUUUAUUUAUAACAUCUUUAACAUCCAUGUAUUUCCGAAUUUCAAAUGGUGCCUAGAACAAAGUAGGCAAGCAAUAAAUAUCUGUAGAAUAAAUGAAUGAAUAUUCAAAAGAAGUCUUAAAACAAAAGAAUAUUCUUUAGUGAACCCUGUUUAUUAACAGUUUUAUUCAGUUAUCUCAAUCUUUUAUUGCAUCUUUUCUAAUUAUAUUGUGCUUUUCAUCAUCUUCAGAACUGAAAAUAUUUCUUAGUAAAAUAGGAGGCAAUAAUAUAUAUGUGCAGUGUCACUCCACUCCUCCAUCAAUUAUAUAUUUUAAGAAAUUUGAGGGACACCUGGGUGACUCAGUGGUUGAGCGUCUGCCUUUGGCUCAGGGCAUGAUCCCAGGAGUCCAGGAUCAAGUCCUACAUCGGGCUCUG
Long non-coding RNA from Canis lupus familiaris (dog), 4365 nucleotides. RefSeq lists it as uncharacterized. Lineage: Eukaryota; Metazoa; Chordata; Mammalia; Carnivora; Canidae. The transcript is spliced from 5 exons. The record is from RefSeq and is a predicted model, not a curated record.